CGAGGACCUCCUCGAACAUGACCUACAGUGCUGCCGGAGGAAAUACUCUCCGGAUCGGAAUCAGUAUGAUCAGAAUUAUCAAAAUCAGGUGAAGUUUGUCAUGUGAAUAUUGAAGAUGUACUAACAAGUACUUUUCAAGACAUAAUUGGACGAGAAGUAUAUUCUAUUUUUAUAAUGAAGUUGUAUUAUGUAAUCAAGAACUGUUUGAAUUUGGAGAAUUGCGAUGAGUUCACACUUCACACUCGGUAUUAAAGUAUUCUAACAAUAUACGGUGUGGAGGGGCAUGAAAAUGGAGCGUUAUGCGACAUGUGGACGACACGUCAGUACGUGUCAAAAAAGUGCUGUGGUGCAAAAACAUGAGAUGUGGAAGAAUGACGUUAUUCGACAUGUGACACUCACUUUUUGUUAUUAUUUUAUAUUCAAAACUAUAAAAA
Helianthus annuus (common sunflower) is the source of this 434-nucleotide long non-coding RNA. RefSeq lists it as uncharacterized. The record is from RefSeq and is a predicted model, not a curated record. The transcript is spliced from 2 exons. Lineage: Eukaryota; Viridiplantae; Streptophyta; Magnoliopsida; Asterales; Asteraceae.